Molecule: transfer RNA, 359 nt
Filed under: uncultured Microcystis sp.
Lineage: Bacteria; Bacillati; Cyanobacteriota; Cyanophyceae; Chroococcales; Microcystaceae
Description: partial 16S-23S ribosomal RNA intergenic spacer
Rfam family: tRNA (bases 135-208)
Source: RNAcentral
AAGGGAGACCUAAUUCAGGUAGGAGACGAAAAAAAAGUAGUCGCUACCAAGAAUCAAUCCCAAAAGGUCGGAGCGAGGCGAAAUUGGCUUUCAAACUAGGUUCUGGGUUCAAACAAGACCUGAAUCAGGAACAAGGGCUAUUAGCUCAGGUGGUUAGAGCGCACCCCUGAUAAGGGUGAGGUCCCUGGUUCGAGUCCAGGAUGGCCCACCUGCACAGGUGGCAAAAACAAGAGAAGCGAGGAAUCAGCACCUUAUCCUACUUAUAUAGUAAGAGAGAAUGCUGGCUCUGAGUAAAGAGUCCAGAGGAACCUUGAAAACUGCAUAGAGCUAGGUGAAAAAGCCAAAAAAGAAGACCGCAA